CGCGGGUAACCUGCCCAAGAGACUGGGAUAACACCUGGAAACAGAUGCUAAUACCGGAUAACAACACUAGACGCAUGUCUAGAGUUUAAAAGAUGGUUCUGCUAUCACUCUUGGAUGGACCUGCGGUGCAUUAGCUAGUUGGUAAGGUAACGGCUUACCAAGGCAAUGAUGCAUAGCCGAGUUGAGAGACUGAUCGGCCACAUUGGGACUGAGACACGGCCCAAACUCCUACGGAAGGCAGCAG
This 244-nucleotide ribosomal RNA is filed under the name uncultured bacterium. RNAcentral's name for it is "partial 16S ribosomal RNA". It matches the Rfam family "Bacterial small subunit ribosomal RNA", at positions 116 to 354 of the family's 1533-position model. The record is from RNAcentral.